Molecule: ribosomal RNA, 498 nt
Filed under: uncultured bacterium
Lineage: Bacteria
Description: partial 16S ribosomal RNA
Rfam family: Bacterial small subunit ribosomal RNA
Source: RNAcentral
GAUGAACGCUAGCUACAGGCUUAACACAUGCAAGUCGAGGGGUAGCAGGGUAGCAAUACCGCUGACGACCGGCGCACGGGUGAGUAACACGUAUCCAACCUUCCCAUAACUCGGGGAUAGCCUUUCGAACGAAAGAUUAAUACCCGAUAGUACGUAUUUAAGGCAUCUUAUUUAAGUUAAAGAUUUAUUGGUUAUGGAUGGGGAUGCGUUCCAUUAGAUAGUUGGUGAGGUAACGGCUCACCAAGUCUGCGAUGGAUAGGGGUUCUGAGAGGAAGGUCCCCCACAUUGGUACUGAGACACGGACCAAACUCCUACGGGAGGCAGCAGUGAGGAAUAUUGGUCAAUGGGCGAGAGCCUGAACCAGCCAAGUAGCGUGAAGGAUGAAGGUCCUAUGGAUUGUAAACUUCUUUUAUAGUAGAAUAAAGUUAGCCACGUGUGGUUAUUUGCAUGUAUGCUAUGAAUAAGGAUCGGCUAACUCCGUGCCAGCAGCCGCCGUAA